AUACGUAGGGAGCGAGCGUUGUCCGGAUUUACUGGGCGUAAAGGGCGCGUAGGCGGGUAAAUAAGUCAGAUGUGAAAACUAUGGGCUCAACCCAUAGCCUGCAUUUGAAACUGUAUAUCUUGAGGGCAGGAGAGGAAAGUGGAAUUCCUAGUGUAGCGGUGAAAUGCGUAGAUAUUAGGAGGAAAACCAGUGGCGAAGGCGACUUUCGGGACUGAACCUGACGCUGAAGCGCGAAAGCAUGGGGAGCAAACAGGAUUAGAUACCCUGUUAGUCCAUGCCGUAAACGAUGAAUACUAUGUGUAGGGGGUAUCGACCCCCUCUGUGCCGCAGUUAACACAAUGAGUAUUCCGCCUGGGGAGUACGGCCGCAAGGUUGAAACUCAAAGGAAUUGACGGGG
RNAcentral lists this ribosomal RNA (397 nucleotides) under uncultured bacterium. RNAcentral's name for it is "partial 16S ribosomal RNA". It matches the Rfam family "Bacterial small subunit ribosomal RNA", at positions 523 to 918 of the family's 1533-position model. The record is from RNAcentral.